AGAGUUUGAUCAUGGCUCAGGGGAUGCUGGCGGCAGGCCUAACACAUGCAAGUCGAGGGAAGGAGAGAAGCUUGCUUCUCUGCUGACGAGCGGCGGACGGGUGAGUAAUACUUGGGAACUUGCCUUUAGGAGUCCCGACAACCACGGGAAACUGUGGCUAAUACCGCAUAAUGUCUUCGGACCAAAGUAGGGGAUCUUCGGACCUUACACCUAAAGAUGGGCCCAAGCGAGAUUAGCUAGUUGGUGGGGUAAAGGCUCACCAGGGCGACGAUCUCUAGCUGUUCUGAGAGGAUGAUCACCCACACUGGGACUGAGACACGGCCCAGACUCCUACGGGAGGCAGCAGUGGGGAAUAUUGCACAAUGGGGGAAACCCUGAUGCAGUCAUGCCGCGUGUGUGAAGAAGGCCUUCGGGUUGUAAAGCACUUUCAGUGGAGAGGAAGGGCGUAAGAUUAAUACUCUUGCGCAUUGACGUUUACCACAGAAGAAGCACCGGCUAACUCCGUGCCAGCAGUCGCGGUAAUACGGAGGGUGCAAGCGUUGAUCGGAAUUACUGGGCGUACAGCGUACGUAGGCGGCUUGUUAAGCAAGAUGUGAAAGCCCCGGGCUCAACCCGGGAAUGGCAUUUUUGAACUGGCAAGCUCGAGUUUUGUAGAGGGUGGUAGAACUUUCCUAUGUAGC
This 680-nucleotide ribosomal RNA is filed under the name uncultured bacterium. Its description in RNAcentral is "bacterial SSU rRNA". It matches the Rfam family "Bacterial small subunit ribosomal RNA", at positions 8 to 679 of the family's 1533-position model. The record is from RNAcentral.